UCACAGGGGGCGUUUCUGAACCCGAGGGAUCCGUCACUGCCUGCACAGCCUCUUCCUCCGCAUCUUGCUUAUUCUAACAAGUCGCGAAAGGAAAUGGGAGGGGGCCUGGCGGUCCGCGGGCUCUGACAGGAAGCGGCCGGUGCAGGGGGACGCGCACGCCCGCGCGCUCGCUGCUCCCGGGUCCGGUGCGCAGCCUUUCGCAGUCGACCCCAAGGGACGCGUCCUUGGCUGCGGGGAAGGGGGGGCGCUCCAUAAGCGCCUUUUCUCCUCUUUCCCUGCUGCCAAGCCUGGAACCUUCGGCUUCACGCGCGCUUCCUCCUUCACUGCGUCCGCCCCGCCGCCUUCCCGACCCGCAGACCCGACGCGCCCCCCGCGCCCGCACGGGGAAUCUAGGAGAACAAGUGAAAUAAAGGACGUGAAAGAACUUUGAAAGCUGUGAGCGACCGCACGGGGAUCAGCACGAUGGUGAAGUUCGUCACCAGCAUCGCCAGCACGGUCAUCGUCUUUACCGCAUCGCUAGAUUCAUUCCAGCAUAUUUUCUGAGGUUUCCAAGCCUCAGAAAUGUCACCUAAGGUAGAAAAGAUGUCGGAGAAUUUGAGCGGUUUUAGCAAAAGCGAAGAUUUGGGGAAUUCUCACCCACGGCUGGUGCCAGGGGGACUUGGCACAGCCCUCUUGGAGUCAACUUGGCAGCGUGGAGUCAGCUGGGAAGUCUGUGUCCCAGGUGACCUGUUGCACCUGAGCACGAGGAGAUCUGCGUGGGGGUGGUUGUGCAGCGUUGUUCACGGUGGCAGGCAGUUAUUUUGAAAGAGCUUAAAUGUUUGUUAACAAGUAAUUGGAUAAAAUGUUACAUAAAUAAUGCCAUUUAUGUAAAAGUUUAAAAUACAAAAGCAGUGCUAUAUAUUAUCUAUAGAUACAUGUGUAUGUCGAAGCUUAAAUACACAAAUGGGAAUGAUACAUAAAAACCUCAGAAUAUGGUUGCCUCUGAAGGGCAGGGGGAGGGAGAAUGAGACCGGGGAGUAGAAAAAAAUAAAUGAAGUACACGGGGAAUAUUUUAACUUUUUCAAUCAAACAGUACAGCUGCAGGAAACAUGCCAGCAUCCUUACAUUUGUUCGUUGCAGAUGACACAGCACCACCUUCUCUCCACCAGCUGCUCAGGGGGAGGGAGGAAGGUGGUCGUGCUCGGCCGUCUUCCACUCCUUCCUCUCCUGGCACUCCUUGAAGGAGUCCUCGGCCCCAAUUCCAUCCUCCCAUUGGAAGGUACAUUGCACUUUCCUCUUUGCCACUAGAAUAUCCAUCUGACACAGAGUUUCCGCCACUGGAAAUUCCAAGUACUUUAAACCAAUCAGUGUCAUUUACAGCAAGGCAUUUUUUUCUCUAUUCUAGUAUGUUUACCUACUUUGAUUCCAAUAAAAAAAUAAUAAUGAUGUCUCACUCCUCGUUCCAUAGAAGAAUGCUUUGUCUUCGUUUUAUGCCUUUUCAAGUUGGAGGGAGAUAAUCAACUGAUUGGUUUCAAAAUACUUCCUGCUUUCCUGUAAGCUGGGAAAAAAAGCAACAGUCAGUUGCCUUGCGUUAACAUAACUUAGAAUCGUCUGGUUAGCUUAAAGUUAUUUGUAGACAUUUGAAAGUAAAAUAUGAGUUAGAAAAAUGAGCGGUGGAAAUGGCUCAUCUAAGGGUAGUUAUUCUUAAGAAUCUCAACUAGAGGCAUUCUCAGGCCUCACCGACUCCCAUAUGGACACUUGCUUUUUAUUCCUUUUCCUGUUUUGAUUGCAGAAGAGAAUGGGAAGGGCUUCAGAGGAGCAGAUACGGAACUAUAGUUGAAG
Equus caballus (horse) is the source of this 1821-nucleotide long non-coding RNA. The record is from Ensembl. NCBI's taxonomy places the organism in Eukaryota, Metazoa, Chordata, Mammalia, Perissodactyla, Equidae.